CUUUGGAAAAAAAAUAAAUAAAUAAGGAGUUUAUAUUGUGUGAAAAAUAAAAUAUACAAAUAUAUAUGGACAUGGGAAAUAUAGGAAUUUGAUUUUAAAUAGAAUGGUAAAAAGGUCAAUUCCAACUUAACCCUACUUGUCCAUUCUCUUCUUAUUCUUCCUUAUAACUCCCGAAACCCAUUCUCUUCUUACUUCCGAAAAACCACUCUCUUCUUAGUCUCCCUUUUAACUCUAGAAAAACCCACUAAAUUGGACUACAAAGAGCAGCCCCUGUUUUACUUGUUGAUUUGCCAAUUAAGAAGAGAAUUUUGUGUGAAGUUUGGCUAAUUCAGGCCACUAGGUUCGGGCACUUUGUAACCAGUUUUUAUCUUCCAUUCAAACUACCAAAAAUCACUUGAAAUAGCCUUUGAUUGCUUAGGCAAGAGUCGAUCACUCUUCGGCAACUUAAGGAUUGGUUCAUUGGAUAAUACUUGACGCGUGUUGCUUAAGCUUGUGAAGUGUGUCUACAAGAGGUAGGGGAAUUUCUACCCUCCUUGAUAAUUCCUUCUAUGACUUGUGUUAAUUCAUUGUAGGAAAAACUUUUAUCCUCAUUGAUAAUUUCCUUUCAUGCUUGUUUGAAUCAUUGUAGGAACCUCCUA
Tripterygium wilfordii is the source of this 638-nucleotide long non-coding RNA. RefSeq lists it as uncharacterized. NCBI's taxonomy places the organism in Eukaryota, Viridiplantae, Streptophyta, Magnoliopsida, Celastrales, Celastraceae. The record is from RefSeq and is a predicted model, not a curated record. The transcript is spliced from 3 exons.